AUACGUAGGGGGCGAGCGUUGUCCGGAUUUAUUGGGCGUAAAGGGCGUGUAGGCGGCCUGUUAAGUCAGGGGUGAAACUCCGCAGCUCAACUGCGGACCUGCCUCUGAAACUGAUGGGCUUGAGUGCUCUAGAGGGCAGUGGAAUUCCCGGUGUAGCAGUGAAAUGCGUAGAGAUCGGGAGGAACACCAGUGGCGAAGGCGGCUGCCUGGGGAGUAACUGACGCUGAGGCGCGAAAGCUGGGGGAGCAAACGGGAUUAGAUACCCCGGUAGUCCCAGCCGUAAACGAUGAGUGCUAGGUGUGAGGGGUAUCGACCCCCCUCGUGCCGGAGUCAACGCAAUAAGCACUCCGCCUGGGGAGUACGGCCGCAAGGUUGAA
This 377-nucleotide ribosomal RNA is filed under the name uncultured bacterium. RNAcentral describes it as "bacterial SSU rRNA". It matches the Rfam family "Bacterial small subunit ribosomal RNA", at positions 523 to 898 of the family's 1533-position model. The record is from RNAcentral.